This is a non-coding RNA of Phascolarctos cinereus (koala), 281 nucleotides long. Lineage: Eukaryota; Metazoa; Chordata; Mammalia; Diprotodontia; Phascolarctidae. The record is from RefSeq and is a predicted model, not a curated record.
CACACCCAGGACCAACUGACAAUCCACACUCACAGAGAGCCUAGAAGAGAAUGCCAGGCCCUGGUCAGCAUGUUUCCUCUUCUGUAUAAUGACAGCACCACACUGAAUGAUCACCAAGGUUCCACCUAUCUCCAGUGUUCUGUGGCUACGUGAAACCAUGCUCAGCCCAACUGUGCCUUGCCCAUAAGGAAGGAAAGACGAACCCACUAAGACAGAAUCGGAGGGGCAGAAGGCAAGAGAAAAAAUACUUGCCCCAGCGGAUUACGCAGGUGAAGCACCAG